RNAcentral lists this ribosomal RNA (505 nucleotides) under uncultured bacterium. RNAcentral's name for it is "bacterial SSU rRNA". It matches the Rfam family "Bacterial small subunit ribosomal RNA", at positions 28 to 518 of the family's 1533-position model. The record is from RNAcentral.
GAUGAACGCUAGCUACAGGCUUAACAUAUGCAAGUCGAGGGGAAACGACAUCGAAAGCUUGCUUUUGAUGGGCGUCGACCGGCGCACGGGUGAGUAACGCGUAUCCAACCUGCCCAUCACUUGGGGAUAACCUUGCGAAAGUAAGACUAAUACCCAAUGACGUCUCUAGAAGACAUCUGAAAGAGAUUAAAGAUUUAUCGGUGAUGGAUGGGGAUGCGUCUGAUUAGCUUGUUGGCGGGGUAACGGCCCACCAAGGCGACGAUCAGUAGGGGUUCUGAGAGGAAGGUCCCCCCACAUUGGAACUGAGACACGGUCCAAAACUCCUACGGGAGGCAGCAGUGAGGAAUAUUGGUCAAUGGACGGAAGUCUGAACCAGCCAAGUAGCGUGCAGGAUGACGGCCCUAUGGGUUGUAAACUGCUUUAUAAGGGAAUAAAGUGAGAGUCGUGACUCUUUUUGCAUGUACCUUAUGAAUAAGGACCGGCUAAUUCCGUGUCCAGCAGCCGC